RNAcentral lists this ribosomal RNA (468 nucleotides) under uncultured bacterium. RNAcentral's name for it is "partial 16S ribosomal RNA". It matches the Rfam family "Bacterial small subunit ribosomal RNA", at positions 28 to 507 of the family's 1533-position model. The record is from RNAcentral.
GACGAACGCUGGCGGCGUGCUUAACACAUGCAAGUCGAACGGAAAGGCCCUGCUUGUGUUGGGUGCUCGAGGGGCGAACGGGUGUGUAACACGUGAGUAACCUGCCCUUGACUUUGGGAUAACGUCAGGAAACUAGUGCUAAUACCUGAUAGGAGCUCCUGCUGCAUGGUGGGGGUUGGAAAGUUUCGGCGGUUGGGGAUGGACUCGGGGCUUAUCAGCUUGUUGGGGGGGUAGUGGCUUACCAAGGCUUGGAAGGGUAGCCGGCAUGAGCGGGUGACCGGGCACAUUGGGCCUGAGGUACGCCGCAGAGUGCAAUGGUGGGCAGCGGGGGCAACUAUUGCACAACGGGCGGAAGCGCGAUGAAGCGACGCCGGGUGUGGAAUCCGGGCUUUCGCGUUAAAAACUCCUUUCGCCUGUGACGAAGGGUGGGUGACGGUACCGGAAAAAGAAGCACCGGCUAACUACGUG